Chelonoidis abingdonii (Abingdon island giant tortoise) is the source of this 3271-nucleotide non-coding RNA. The record is from RefSeq and is a predicted model, not a curated record. Lineage: Eukaryota; Metazoa; Chordata; Testudines; Testudinidae.
ACAAAAGAGGGUCCAGUCUCAGAUGAGAGAUCUACACUAAUAUAAAUAAAUUAAUGUUUCCAUUUACCACGAUGCUUGAUACCUACUUAAUAAGGGGCUGCUCGCUCUAUUCUUUUUCCCAUGGUAUUAAACUUAUUAAGAAAUUUCCCCCUGAUAAUAAAGUUAUUACUAAAAGGUAAACUCAAGAAGGUAACAGGGAAGAGUAGAUGACAAAGAUUUAUCAUUAAUAGUUUCCCUCACUUUUGGAAUAGUCUCUAACAGAUCCCCCACCAUUGGAAUGGCAUGCAGCUUAGAGGCAGUAAUUGUCAUACUCUGAGUCCCUUAUGCUUGGAAUACCUAAGCAAGACUGUAAGAAAGGGAAUGACUCAGUUGCCCCAUUUCUUUUCCUUGUCUUCAUAAUGCAUAUGUAAGAGUACAUUUAAAAAACUGGCAGGAAAGUGUAGAUCUUAGUUCUUCAUGAAAUGCUACCAGGCAGGUUGGCAAUAUUUCAUCACUAAUCUCUCCUCUAGUAACUAACCCACCCACAAAGCAGACAUACUUGUUGGCAUAUUGCAAUGACAAGUCCUCUUGGAGUAGGGAAAUAUGGGUGGACAGUUUGCACUAAGAAAGGGGCAGUAGACUAGCAACUUUCUCUAUUUCAACAUAUGACCAUGGUAACAAUACCUUCCAAAUCUCCUCCUCCUGGUUUAUCUUCGCCACCUCCUUCCUUGCUUUCCACCUAGUUCUGUAUCAGAUUUACUUAUAUUCCUUGUAAAAUUUAAAACAAAAUGGAGCCCUGCCAUGAUCAGUUUGUACUAACUGUAAAUAAGAUCUGUUAAAAAACAACAACCCAAAAAAGCAGAAGUGCUGAAUUUAGUGGGUGGACAAAGGCCAUUAAAAAAAGUGUGUGUAGUGCUAUGAUAUUCAGUCAAAGUUGUUUAAUAGACCAACACAAUUUUAACUUUAUACACUACUCUUUCAAAAUGAUGAUAGGCUGUGAGAGCAAUAAACCAUUUCAGUGGAAUAACAGUAAGAUCUCAUUAAUUCAAGAAGUCACGACUCCUCUCUCGUUUAAAUACUGAUUCUGUAAGAUUAAUGUAAAACACAGUACAAUUUUCCUUUUAUUAAAGAAUGGAAGUGGCUGUUUUUAGUUACAUAUCCAAAUCUUGAUUUGAUUGUACAGAGAAAAAUCUGUAAAACUUGUAUCUUACAGAAUGAUUAAACCUGUUUUAUCACAGCAACUUUUAGGAAAUUGCAAAAAAGUCAAAGGAAUACAAAAUGUUAGAUUAUUUUGUUAUAUAAAACUUCCAUUUUUGACGAUUUACUGCAAAAAAUAGGUGUGCACUUGCUGCUUGCAUUGUGGGUAAUUUUGAUUAUCAACUGCUGUUCCAGAACUUCCUUUUAAACAAAAAUUUGACAGAUAGUAAUUUAAACAAACAAAAGUCAGAUGCCUUUAUUCCCCAUGAUAAAUUUACACCUGAUGGCUCCAGUCUACAAUCUAAUCUGUGCUGAUGGAUUCCUUGCAUCUGUGUGGAGCCCCACUGAUUUCACUGUACAGAGACAUAACUGUCCCAGUGGCACUGGAACACUUUUUAUAGUAGGGGUGCUGAAAGCCAGCUAAUUAAACUCUGUAAACCAUGUAUGUUCAAAAGCAAGAUGAAAAAAGCACAAUUCCCACUCACACCACACGGGUGCAGCAUAGCUCUGGGAUUCUCAAGAACCGUGAAAUACUGUUAUCUUACAGCACCAGACAACUUUUCACAGUGAAACCUGGGGGUGCAAUAGCACCUGCCAGCCCCAUAGUUCCCAUGGCUAUGAACUGUCCACCCAUCCAGACCAGCUUGCAGAAUUGUAACUUUAAUAACCAGUUAAUCUUUGAUCACUGGAGUGGGAAAGUUACAUAAAUCGCUUCCAAGCGAGCAAGAUCCCAACCUAUUUAAUCGUAAGGGAAUUUUUACAAAAAAAAGAAAGGAUUAAUUAAAAAACAGCGAGCUUUGCAUAUAGUAACAAUGUAUUCCAUAUUGUCACAGCUCAGGACAACUGCAACUGUACUUCCCCUCAGUCCUUCAGCAAGGGCACCCACUUUUGGCUUCCAGCUACCCAGCUGUUGCCUUUCUUGGGUGGAGUCACGUCCCUCUCUUUUCUGACAGGGGUAUUUCCAGGCUUCCGUUUUCUGCCUUCACUAUGUAUUUCCCAGCACAGACAGAUUGCCAAAGGGCACCUGCUUGCUUUCUCUUCAGAGACUGAUAAUGGAGUGAUUGUCAACAGUUACCAUGCAGCACUUCCUACACAAGCCUACUUUAUUCUUAAGGCACUCAAACCUAUCCCUUGUCACAGAUUUUCCCCCUUUAUAGCUGCAAGAGGAACAUGGCAUAAACAGAGUAAUGUACAGAAACAAACAAGUUCCGAAUGUGGCCAUCUUUCUAGAUUGUGUCAAUUCUUAGCUAAUUUUUAAACAAUUUUAUUUUGUAAGAUAUCCUAGUUAACAAAAGUAAAGAACAAGACGUGUAUCCAGUUGUUUGUAUGCAUUUUAGUCCCGUACUCACAUCUUUAAUUUAAAAAUUAAUCUUACAUGUAUUUGCUUUUGAAGACUUGCAUUUUCUAAAUUAUAAACAUUCAGUAUUUUAAAAUCACAAAUGUUCUAGUCACUGGGUGAAGCUGAUCACUUGCUCAUAAUGUUAUACAUUUACUAUCAAACACUGCAUCAAGGAAAUAAUUAAAUUCCAUUUUAAACAUUUCAAUUAAAAGAAAAGUACUAUGGCAGAGUUUCAGUACAUUUGGAUCUUGAAAUAAAUUUAAUUAGUACAAAUGUGUGUGUUUCAGUUUUUCCUGGACUUUUUAUCCAGUUUACAGAUAGACAUAUCUGGUCCCAUUUACAAUCCUCAUUUGCAAGAUUAUUUUUUCAAGAGUGUGUUUGUACAAGCAAAAUUUUAUUUGCUCCAUAUACUUUAUAUGUAAAGUAGAAAUUUCAACAUUUAAACUUAAGUAAAAUGCUCUGCUUGAAAGGUGAGAGACACAUAUCCAAUACUAUUACACUGAACUGAAAAAAACAAGAUUUGUAAUUCCCAAUCAAAAUAAUGGUAAAAAAAAUUGCUUCAACUGUAGCUUCCUCGCCCAAUCUAUUACUUUUAAAGCAUACUGCCAAAAUAUUUAAUGGAUAACUACUUGUAAACUAUGGAUGUGUUACUAGUUUACUAAAUUAAAUUCAGGUCUUAUAUGAGAAUACAAAUUCUGUUAAUUCUUUAAACAUGCUCAGAAUCCUAAAUAUUUUACUUUCAUCCAAUUAAAAAAA